This 229-nucleotide ribosomal RNA is filed under the name uncultured bacterium. Its description in RNAcentral is "partial 16S ribosomal RNA". It matches the Rfam family "Bacterial small subunit ribosomal RNA", at positions 568 to 796 of the family's 1533-position model. The record is from RNAcentral.
UACGUAGGCGGAAAAUUAAGUCAGUAGUGAAAUCCCACAGCUUAACUGUGGAACUGUUAUUGAUACUGGUUUUCUUGAAUAUAGUUGAGGUAGGCGGAAUGUGUAAUGUAGCGGCGAAAUGCUUAGAUAUUACACAGAACACCGAUUGCGAAGGCAGCUUACUAAACUAUGAUUGACGCUGAGGUACGAAAGCGUGGGGAGCGAACAGGAUUAGAUACCCUGGUAGUCC